RNAcentral lists this transfer RNA (88 nucleotides) under Poronia punctata. Its description in RNAcentral is "tRNA-Tyr". It matches the Rfam family "tRNA". From Rfam's summary of the family: Transfer RNA (tRNA) molecules are approximately 80 nucleotides in length. Their secondary structure includes four short double-helical elements and three loops (D, anti-codon, and T loops). Lineage: Eukaryota; Fungi; Ascomycota; Sordariomycetes; Xylariales; Xylariaceae. The record is from RNAcentral.
CUCCUGAUAGCUCAGUUGGUAGAGCGAUGGACUGUAAUUGAAAACUUAAGAGAUCCACAGGUCGCGUGUUCGACUCACGCUCGGGAGA